Molecule: transfer RNA, 72 nt
Filed under: Pyrinomonadaceae bacterium
Lineage: Bacteria; Pseudomonadati; Acidobacteriota; Blastocatellia; Blastocatellales; Pyrinomonadaceae
Description: tRNA-Asn
Rfam family: tRNA
About the family: Transfer RNA (tRNA) molecules are approximately 80 nucleotides in length. Their secondary structure includes four short double-helical elements and three loops (D, anti-codon, and T loops).
Source: RNAcentral
UCCGGUGUGGCCGAAUGGCAAGGCGCUGCACUGUUAAUGCAGACGAUGGAGGUUCGAGUCCUCCCGCCGGAG